AAACGGGUGCGGAACACGUACGCAACCUUCCUUUAAGUGGAGAAUAGCCCGGGGAAACCCGGAUUAAUACUCCGUAACAUUAUAAAGUGGCAUCACUUAGUAAUUAUAGAUUUAUCGCUUAAAGAUGGGCGUGCGCCUGAUUAGGUAGUUGGCGGAGUAAUAGCCCACCAAGCCUGCGAUCAGUAACUGGUGUGAGAGCACGACCAGUCACACGGGCACUGAGACACGGGCCCG
RNAcentral lists this ribosomal RNA (234 nucleotides) under uncultured bacterium. Its description in RNAcentral is "partial 16S ribosomal RNA". It matches the Rfam family "Bacterial small subunit ribosomal RNA", at positions 101 to 334 of the family's 1533-position model. The record is from RNAcentral.